This 466-nucleotide ribosomal RNA is filed under the name uncultured bacterium. Its description in RNAcentral is "partial 16S ribosomal RNA". It matches the Rfam family "Bacterial small subunit ribosomal RNA", at positions 28 to 507 of the family's 1533-position model. The record is from RNAcentral.
GAUGAACGCUGGCGGCGUGCUUAACACAUGCAAGUCGAACGGAAAGGCGCCUGCUUUCAUUGGUACUCGAGUGGCGAACGGGUGAGUAACACGUGUGGGAUCUGCCCUGCACUUCGGGAUAAGCCUGGGAAACUCGGUCGAAUACCGGAUAUGACAAUUUGUUCGAUGCCAUUGUGGAAAGAUUGUGCGGCUUGGGCUGAGCUCUCGGCCUAUCCGCUUGUUAGUGGGGUAAUGGUCUACUAAGGCGUAGACGGGUAGCCGGCAUGAGAGGGUGUACGGCGACAAUGGGACUGCGAUACGGACCAGAAUCCUACGGGAGGCAGCAGUGGGGAAUCUUGCAGAAUGGGCGCAAGCGUGAUGCGGAGACGCCGGGUGCGGGAUAACGGCCUUCGGGUUGUGAACUCCUUUCGCUAGGGACGAAGAGAAAGUGACGGUACCUAGAGAAGAAGCACCGGCUAACUACGUG